Molecule: long non-coding RNA, 3780 nt
Organism: Canis lupus familiaris (dog)
Lineage: Eukaryota; Metazoa; Chordata; Mammalia; Carnivora; Canidae
Exons: 3
Source: RefSeq, a predicted model, not a curated record
GGGAGAGAGGGUGGUGUGGACCCGGGAACGGGCGGCGUGGACCUGCAACAAGCGGGUCGCAGGCGGUGUGGACGGGGAGUGAGAAAGGCCGCGCGGACAGGGGACGGGACAGCGGGUGGUGUGGACCCGGGAGCGGGCGGCGUGGACCUACAGCAAGCCAGUCGCAGGUGGUGUGGACGGGGAGUGAGAAAAGCCGUGCGGACAGGGGAUGGGAGAGUGGGUGGUGUGGACCCGGAAGCGGGAGGCAUGAACCUGCAGCAAGCAGGUCGCAGGCGGUGUGGACGGGGAGCAAGGCUGUGUGGAUGGGAGAGCGGGUGCUGGGGACCCGGGAGCGGGCAGCAUGGACAGUAGAGUGGUGAGGGUGGGUGGUUGGGAGAGCAGAGGGCAAGGGCAGUGUAGACGGGGUGGGAGAGUGACCGGUGUGGAACCGGGAGCGGGUGAUGUGGAUCAGAUAGUGGAAGGGCGGGUGGUGUGGACAGGAGAGCAGCGGGCUGCAGAUCCUGACCGGCCUGGGAGCCGCGGGGCUGGCUCUGCCGCCCCAUCCUCAUGUGCCCCAUCCUGGACCUCGAGGCUUGUCCAGUCCCGAGACCCUGGCAGCCGAGGCCCCAGCGGCCCCAGGGCCCUGUAAGUCUCUUCUGGGGGCCGCUGGAGCCCUAUGUUCCCUUGCAAGUGGGGGCGGGGGGUGGUCACAUUUUUUCUUCGCAAGCAGAGCAGGCUGAGGCUUGCUGCCAGGUCCUGGGUGCUUCCGAACGCAGGGGAUGGGGUGCUGCCUUCCUCUUAGUCCUCUGGGAACACGCACAGGUGACUUAGCCGCCCGGAGAGGCUCGGCAGCAGAUAGGGGCGGGCAUCUGGACCCAUCCGGGCAGGUGGGCUCCUGAAAUCCACACCUGGACCAGAGCGAGGCUGCCAUGUGGAAAGUUCCAGAAAAGCAUUGCCCUGGUUAGGGCGGCUCUGAAGGCCAGGCUGCUCCCUGGAGGUGUCUCUGCCCCGCCCACACCCCAGGUCCUGGUGGCCUGUGUGGCCUCUUGACCCCCUGCGUCAAAUGUACCUGAGCCCACAAACCUACAAAUAGAAGGGGCUGGAGGGGUCCUUUAGUCUGGGGGGCAGGGCCAGAGAACUGUUCUCUUUGUUCUGCGGUUCUGUUUUCUUUCCUAAGGUUCUCCAGCUGCAUCUUUUCAGCAUUCAGGCAGAAAGCUCCCCCACUAAAGUCCAAGAGGGGAUGCACUGACAGGAAGUGAUUGGAAAUUGAUGUCAGAAAGGACUCAUUUCCUUCCUACAGAGGAAGCUCCUAGGAAUCAAGAGGAAAAAGAUAGAGAACCGCAUAGAAAAUGGAAAGUCCCCAGUAAGGGAAAGACAAGGGCUUUUAAGCAUAAGCAAAGCUACUCAGCUAUAUAUGGUCAUGAGAGAAAAAGCAAAAUUGCAGUGCAAUCGUCUUUACCUGCUACAUUAGCAAAGUUUUUUUUUUCUUUAAGCUUAAUAGCAUUAUAUUGAAGAUUGUAGAAAAUAAGCUGUUUCAUCCUUUCCUGGUGGGAGAAUAAUUGAGGAUAGCCCUCAUCCGGGCCAUUUGUUAAUAUAGAAAUUCUAAACGCAUAGGGCCUGGGGCCCGGCAGUCCCACGAUCGGGACUUUAUUCUACAGUCAGACUUACUUGUACGGAUUGGCGUGUGUCUAAGGUCAGUAAUAAGGACCAUCAAAAGGGCUCCGCCAUAAGUUUGAAGGUUGAGCAGGUGCAGAGGGGCAAGCCGCCCUCCCCAGAGCGACUUCCCAGCGGCACUUGCGGUAGGUCUGCUCCACGAUCUCCUAUGGUCUUGAUCACCUCACCUUUACCCCGUUCAUACCCCACCCAGCUGGGGGACCCCAGUCUCCCUCCAGACUUCUGUCCCUCACACACGUCCUCGAGAUCUUUUGCACAGAUCCUCUACCUUGCAGUGCUUUCCUAAGGUUUUCCACCCGCAUCUUUUCAGCAUUCAGGUCUCUGCUCAAUCCCCAAGAGCCCCAGACUGACUCCUACAGCUAAUGUGCACCCCUCACCUACCUCCCACACACCCCCCUCCGCCCCCGCCAGUGACCACUCACAAUUCUCAAAGGUGGCUGGUUCUCUGGGCCUCUGCACACCAGAGGUACUGGCACGCGUGAACAAAAGCAGAUUGUUUGCAGAAAAAAAUUGGCAGGUUAAACCAAGAGUGAAAACCUGUAAAAGUGGAAGACCUGAGGCCACCUAACGCCAUUUCUCAUCAUACGUGCAGCACAGGGCUGGGAUUCAUAUUCACGAUGCUCAUAGCAUCUUCAAAAGAAUUCCCAAUGUGUUUAAUAUAUUCCUUCUAUGAAGGCUGGAAAUAACUUGUCUUAAGGCAGAUUUGUAUCCAAAAUUUUAUUUUUUAAUUUUUUUAUUAGUCUCAGAGGUAGAAUAGAGUGAUUCCUCAGUUGCAUACAACACCCAGUGCUCAUUGUAUCAAGUGCCCUCCUUCAUGCCCAUCACCCAGUUACUCACCGCCCCCGCCCCCACAGCGACCCUGUUUGUUUCCUAGAGUUCAGCGUCUCUUAUGGUGUGUCUUCCUCUCAAUUUUCACCUAAUUUUCCCUCCCUUCCUCUAUGUUCAUGUUUUCUUUCUUAAAUCCCACAUAUGAGUGAAAUCAUAUGGUUUUUGUCUUACCCAAACUUUUAAAGAUUUUUUUUAAAGAGUGUUAUUUCUGAAAGUGUCCAAUUUUUAUUAUCAACCAAAGCAAUGUAGAAACCUUGCCUGAACCCCAAGCAGAAAAAGAAAAAGAAGAAAAACCUAUAAAAGAUGUUCUUGGGCAGUGGGGGAGAUCUGAAUGGGGCCUCUGACACUGGAUAGUAGUUUCGCAUCUACGUCCUGCUUCCCAAGCACGAUAACCAUUGAGGAUGUGAUGUGAAGAGGCCAUCCUCCUUAGGAAACGCAUUCUGAAGAAUUCUGGGUGACACACGAGGUCUCCAAACAACAACGAAUCAAUUGAUCAAUGGAUGGUGCGUAGACCCUAACAGACGUGAGUGGCUCACCGGAGAAUCCAUCUCGGCCUCUGAGAGGUAGGGAGGAAGGAGCAAAAGUCCCCUCGCACAUCGGAGGUUGCUGCCCUCAAACAGCUUGUGAACUCCAGCUAAACCACAGCGAGCCCGUCUGCAAAAUCUCCAUCACUACUUUUGUUCUUACCAACGUAAAGUACACCUAACACAGACCUUGCCGUCCUAACCAUCUCGGAACACACGGUCACGGGGAGUACGUUCCCGUUGCCCGGCAACCACGCGGACCCUCAGUGAAGCUAAAAAUAAACCCGAAUCUGGGGAAUAGAUUUCCUGCAUUGGCUGCAGCAUUUCCAACCAGCGAAACCCCAGGAGGACCGUAACCACGCGGGCAGUCUUGGGGACCCGUGCAAACUCCCUGCUGGGACGCAAGGUGCAGGUGGGUGGUUCUGGAGCCAAAACGAGCCUCGGUUUAAAAACGAGAGCGCGCUCCCUUGAUCCCCAGGGUAGAACUGUUGCUGGAGCACAUCUACCCUCUGGCACCCGUAACACAUCAUCGUCUGAGGUUCCGACAACAUCUCGUGGAGAUGCAGUGUCCAAAUCGCUCAGAAAACACUGGAAGGGGGAAGCAAGUUUGAAAACACUGCCAGAUACGCCCCUUUAUAAAUUCUCGGUCUGGGGCAGCCCCGAUGGCCCAGCGAUUUGGCACCUGCCUUCAGCCCAGGGCGUGAUCCUGGAGACCCGGGAUCGAGUCCUGUGUUGGGCUCCCUGCAAGGAGCCUGCUUCUCCCUCUGCCUGUGAC